Molecule: long non-coding RNA, 6332 nt
Filed under: Triticum aestivum (bread wheat)
Lineage: Eukaryota; Viridiplantae; Streptophyta; Magnoliopsida; Poales; Poaceae
Description: long non-coding RNA (TAES_LNC012445)
Rfam family: MIR1120/MIR1122 microRNA precursor family (bases 3260-3394)
Source: RNAcentral
UCCUUUUUCUUUGGUCUUUGCCCUCUGCUUGACUGCUGCAGCGUACGUAGAACAUUGGUGGUACUGUAGCCGGCCGGCUGUGCGCCUUUCUGCAGCUUUGGCUCUUGGGGGAUAUCUUUGUUUAACUACUAGUCUCUCUGUAACUAUGCUUUUACUGUAAGCUUGGAUUACUACUUACUAGUAGUAUAGAUUAAUUCUAAGUAUAAUAGCCUUUUGUGUCCCACUUGUUUGUCUUGGGUCUUGAGUGCUCGAUCGUUUUGGUUUGACUCGUGUCUUGAUCAUUGUUUGUCUCGAAAGUCUGUCUACCGGAAAUGGUGCUUGGCUUGGAAGCCAGUUCGGUAAUCGAGUGUCAACUCAUGAUGGUGGCAGGCAGGGCAGCUGCUCCCCACGAUCAAUGUCCGGAGUGCUGCUUGUUGCGUUGGUGGCCUGGUUUGGAUUUUUUUUUUCCUUUUUGCCAAACCUGAAAAGAGCGAAAUCUGGUGCCGAGGUUGUUAGAAUUGCCCAACCGGACGGAGGAAUUCCCUCCCAGUCCCAGGAAGCCGGAUGUAGGGCACAGAGCAGCAUUGCCUGUGCAAAUUCUCCUUUGGAUCUGGAUCAUGUUUGUAAUCUCGAGUCUUGCGGCUAGCCUAAAAAUUCGUGGAUCUGAGCAGAAGCGCCUGCCACACUUUGUUUAAUCACUGGUGCUUGAUCUGAUCUUUGGUGCGCUCGGCUAGCUCGCACUACUUGAGUAAGUUUCUCGUCAGGAUCUGUGGGUUGGUUCGUUCCCCAUCACGGUACACGUUCUAGACUGUACAACCACGGGUAGUGCUCCACCCUCCGCGGCACGUGGGGUGGUGGUGGUGGACUGGUGGGCGUCUUCGUGGGUGGGUGGUCAUCUCCGGGCUGGGUCCGCCUGAGCUCCGCCGGAGACCGGCCGCCUCCUCCGCGUGUGCGCGCAUGUGAGGGGAGCAAGCUGCCAACCGGAGUUGGACGGAGGGCUGGGCCUGGACCACUGCCGGAGUGGGGAAAGAAGAGGGAAUAUCAUCGGUGGCUUCUCACCGAUCGAGAUGAUCUUUGCGCGCGUCAUCGCGGUGAAAAUCCGUGCCCGGCUCCAGGACCAUGCACGUUUUUUUCUCUUUUCCAGGACGCGUUACUUUCUUUUCUGCUUCAAGCUUUGACUCGAGGUCUUGUGCUCUCGUCUAUGGCAUGGCUCCUCCGAGCUGCUUGCUUUUCUGCCGGUUCCAGUAGCCAAGCACACAAUGUACAUUCGGUGCCAGUCUAAGCUAAAUGAAAGAAGAUAAAUAUGAACAUAUUAAAGAAAGGAGAUCUGAAUAGUUAACCAAACGACGGAAAUUGCAAACGGAGCUAAAUCUUGCAACUGCGCACUCAUGACGAAAGAUCCUAUUCUCGAUUACCCAUAAUAGAGGCACCGGCAUUCCUCUCUCUCCCCGCCAUCGGCCGCCUGGAUGGCAAGCAGCCGGGAGGCGAAUCCACGGGCUUCCUGACAAAACAUGAAGGGGAGAGUUUGCCCUAACCGCUGACGGGAGGGGGGCUUCGCAUAGAUAUUUCCACGAACAUCUAUUUUUAUAACACUACAAAAACACUUUUUUGGAGCAUGCAAUUAUUACUAUUAUUUUUUUAAAUUCAAUUACUACUAUUGUAAUCAUUGUGUUAAACAUGAAUGUAUGUUUUGAGGUUUACGAACAAUUUUCACAUAUAGAACACAUUUACUUAAAUUAUAAACUGUUUUUAGGGAGAAUAUAAACAAUUAUAUUAUCCACAAACAUUUAAACUUGGUACAUGUGAAUGGUAUUCCUUGCAACACAUGUAUGUUUCUUUUCAUAUACACAAUUUUCAAUUUAUGCCGACAUUGUUUUUUGUAUGCAUGCCAUUUUUUUGCAACACAUGAAUAUGUCUUUUCACAUACAACAUCAUUUGAAAAAACAUGAGGAUUUUCAAUAACUACACAAAUAUUCAUUUUUAUGCGAACACCCUUUUUUUUUGCAAUACAUGAACAUUUCGUAUAAGUUGAUUAUGCAUGAAUUUAGUGAAAUAAAUACUCCCACCGUUCCUAAAUAUAAGUCUUUGGAGAGAUUUGACUAUGGACCACAUACGGAGCUCUCCAAAGACUUAUAUUUAGGAACGAAGGGAGUAUUUAUUAUGAGAUUUUUAUAUAAACAAAAAUAUUUUUUUGAGUGUCUGUAGAAUGGAUCGUACUCUGGCCCAUGUGUGGCCGGUGGUUAGUAAGCUGGGCUUACAUAUCUCUUUUUGCAACAAUGGGCCCUCACUGUAAUGGAUCGUACCAAAAAGGCAUAGACUACGGCCGAAUCCUAUACGGCGCCCGUUGCGCCCGAUACAGGCAUCGGCGCAAACGGGCGCACACCCCCGCAACACCCCCGCGCCGCCCUGGGCCGGCCCGUUUCAUUUUUUUAUUCCUAUUGAAACUAGAGCAAAAAUUAACCUGCGCUAGCGAGGGAUCGAACACUGGACCGCUUGAUUGAAAGUGGAGCGCACUUACCACCAGGAUAACAACGCGCCUAAGCCCAAAAACUUCUUUCUUUCAUUUUUAAUCAUAUCUAGGUCGUUCGCUGGUCAGCUUCUGGGCGUUUUUUUUCUUGUUCCUUGUUCAUGUUUCUUUUCUCAUUUCCUUUUCUUUUUUUCUUUUCCUUAAAUGCGCCAACUUUUUAUCAAAUUCGUGAACUGUUUUCCAACUUUGAUGAACUUUUUCAAAUUUUGAUGAACUUCUUUGAAAUUCCAUGAACUUUUUUUCAAUUUCGAUGGAAAUUCAUUUUUUUUCAAAUUCGGUGAACUAUUUUUUUCAUUUUGGAUGAUUUUUUUUCAAAAUUUGAUGAACUUUUUUCAUAUUCCAUGAACUUUUAUUGAAAUUCAAUGAACUUUUUUCAAAAUCAAUGAAGUUUUCACAAGUUUGAUGAAUUUUUUUUCAAAUUCGAUGAACUUUUUUGAAAUUCGAUAAACUUUUUUCAAAUUCAAUGAACUUUUCCCAAAGUUGAUGAUUGUUUUUUCAAAAACGAUGAACUUUUCCAAAGUCGAUGAAUGUUUUUUCAAAAUCGAUGAACUUUUUCAAAAUUUGUGAACUUUUUUGAAAAUCGAUGAAGUUUUUCCAAUUUUUAUGAACUUUUUUGAAUUCAUCAAUGUUUUUUGAAUACAUGAACUUUUUUUUUCUUCUAAUUCGUGAUGUUUUUUAAAGUCUGUGGACAUUCAAAAUUUGUUCAGAUUUCUUUUCAAAAGAAAUCCCAUUUUUCUAAAGAGGGCGGCUAAAAUUGUACUCCCUCCGUUCUGAAUUACUUGUCUUGGAUUUGUCUAGAUACAGAUGUAUCUAGACUCAUUUUAGUGUUAGAUACAUCCGUAUCUGGAUAAAUCUAAGACAAGUAAUUUAGAACGGAGGGAGUAGUUCUUAGACCUUCCGCGUUGCAAGAUUUCUGUAAGGGCUGUAUUGGUCUAGUGGUUAGCUGACCAUGCGCAGGAGCUUCAUGGUGCGUGUUCGAUUCCUCAUGGGAGCAUCACUUGCGUUCGUUUUUUCCUGACAUGAAUACAUUUUUGCACUGCCCCUGCUGUUCAUGGGCCGGCCAAUUCGCGAGCUGCAGUGCGCGCCAGGUGCGCCAACCGACGCAUAAGGCGCCGAAGAGGAGGUCUCUAGACUACGAGCCCUUGGUCGCAGUAUAACAAGUCUGCAAUGGAUCUCGCUCAUUGCGAGACCUAAGAUGUCGGCUGCAUGCUCCUCCUAGUGCAACGAAGCAAUUUUGGGAAGUUUCUAGUAUGUAAUGAAUCUACCACUGAUUUGCUGGUUUGUGCUUCAGUGGUUUGUUUUCUUUAUUUUGUGUCUAUUCUUUACAAAUUUCAUUGGUUUUUCUGUCUUUCUUUAUUUUCGGGUUUAUUUCUAUUCAUUUUUAUUUCCUUUAUUUUCUUUUUCUUUCAAAUACAUGUUGAUUUGUUAUACGCUGAACAUUUUCUGAUAGACACUUGAUAUUGUUUAAAUACACGGCAAACAUGGUUUAAAACAAUAGUUUAACAUUUUUUGAAUAUAUGUUAGGCAUUUUUUGAAUAAACAUUGAAUAUUAUUCAAAUACAUGUUAAAACUUCCUUGAAUGGAAGUUGAAUUUUUUUCGAAUACAUGUGACACACUUUUCUUAUACACAUUGAACAAUUAAAAAAACAUGAUGAACAUUUUUGCAAAUACAUGUUGAACAUUUUUUCAAAUACAUGCUGAUCAUUUUUUUCGAAUACACAUUGAAAGUUUUUCGUAUACACAUUAAGCAUUUUUUAUACACGUUGAACAUUUGUCAAAUCAGGAGAAACAUUUUUAAAAAUGUCUACAACAUAAUGUUUUAAAAGAGUGAAAAUUUUAAAUGUCAUGAUUAUGUCUGGAAAGUAUUUUUUAAGCCUUCACACACAAAUUGUUUACACCACAUCUACAUUUUAUAAACACAUUAACUUUUGUGAAUGACGAUUUUUAUGAAAUUUACAAACAUUUUUUAAAACAAUGAGAAUAAAAAUUGGCAUUCCCCGAACUAUUUUCCAAUACAUGGUGAACAUUUUUUUUAUAAACUAAAGAUUUUUUUAUCAUUUUCAGAAUAUAAACAUAAGUAAUAAAAAAAUACGUCCUAGCAUUGAGGCGAACGGUUCCUACAUCUCGCAGCAGGCUAGACGAAGACAUUCCCAAACACGCAGGCUACGGACUCUAUUCUACACUCACAACAUAGAAUCCUACUCCCGCCGUGCAAAAUGUUGACCUUUCCCUCGCUUUGGGACAUCACAUUCACGUGAUUCUUUUCCUUGUUGGCUUUUGCGUUUUUUAUGAGUUUGCCUUUUGCGUUUCGUUUAGUUCUAUUUUCCCAUGGUAUGUAUAUCGAACACCUUUUUUUUAAAAAAAAUAAGUCUUUUAAGAAAUAAUGACUAAUUUUAGAUUCAUGAUUUCUUAACAUACAUGAACAUGUUUCAAAAAUCACAAGCAGUUGUUAUAUUUUUUUGAGCAUUUUUUAACCAACAAACAUUAUUUUAAAAAUUCAUGAGCUUUUUGAUUUCACGGACAUUAUCCAAAUCUGUCAAAAGAAAAACAUUUUUGGCUUUUUUUUCACCUAGGUGUUGCAUGUUUUUCUCUGGUUAUUAUUUCCUCAAAACGAACACUCUGAUUUUUCCGUACAAGAGCGAGCUGCAACACUAGUUGGGCUGGCCCAUGGCAGUAUCUUGUGCGUUAUAGCGAGAAGUUGUAGAUAUAAGCCUUAGUUCUCGCGAGCUACUAUCUGGAGACAAUUUCCGGGGUCUAGAUAAAAAAUCCGGACCGGACCGUCGGUCGAACCAGGGAAAACCGAAACCGGCGGCCAUAGCGAUUUUUUAAGCUAAUAAGACCGUUCUGCAAUCAGACCAGAGAAAACCGGUCGAAGCGUCCGGUUUCUGAAAAAUGGAUAAAAAACCAGGCCAUUGAACCGGGAAAAAAUAGGAAAAUGUUUAAUUAGAAAUUUGGAGAAGUGGGAUUCGAUCCCAGGUCAUGUGAGGAGUACGCAGGGCCUUUCCACGGCCCAAUAACCACCUUAGUUGUGCUACUUUGUUGUCCAAUAACAUGAAAAUAAUUUUAUUUGACCAUUGUUUCACAGUAUAUUAGCACAUAUAUUACUCACCAUAUAUUAUUUUAUUACCUAAAAAACUGACCAUCAAACCGGGGAACCCACGGUCUGACCGAUAAAAACCUGAACCGAUAACUUUUCCGGUUCGGUUUAUUAAACUAUGUUCCGAGGGGUGCUCCCAGUCUGCACGUUCGGUGCCGCGGGAGGCCAGGAGCCAACCGGCGCCCAUGCAGUGCCUAAUGGGCUGGCCGACGACGCACAACGUAGAAAAAUUGUCUCGCGGAAAAAACAUGCAAAAUAGUGCGUGACGAGGACUCAAACUCGCGCUGAGCUGCUACAACAGACAUAGUGUUUAGAUAACCACUACAGCUGCUGAGCACAAUUGAUUGAAAUCAACACGAAACAUUUCAGCACCUUUGUAUCCGCGCUAUUUAUUAGAUUUUUGAAUUAUUUGAAAACAAUCUGGGACAGUUAAUUUUUUUAAUGAAAAAGAGUUCAUCAAAUUUUGAAAAAAGCUUACGAAUUUGGAAAACCAUUCAUUUAUUUUUUAAAAAGUUCAUCAAAUUGGGAAAAGAAAAUCAUCAAUUUCUUUAAAAAGUUUAUCAAAAUUGAAAAAGGUUCAUGUUUUUUAAAAAAUCACAAAUUUGAAAAAAGUUCAUCGAAUUUGGGGAAAAAGUCAUCGAAUUGAAUAAAAAACAUCAAUUUUAAAAAAUUUCAAGAUUUUGAAAAAAUAAUCAUCAAACCACGAAGAAGAAGAAAACAAAAAAAAAU